Molecule: ribosomal RNA, 452 nt
Filed under: uncultured bacterium
Lineage: Bacteria
Description: bacterial SSU rRNA
Rfam family: Bacterial small subunit ribosomal RNA
Source: RNAcentral
GAUGAACGCUGGCGGCGUGCUUAACACAUGCAAGUCGAACGAACCUUUCGGGGUUAGUGGCGGACGGGUGAGUAACGCGUGAGGAUCUGCCCUUAGGCGGGGGACAACUUUUGGAAACGGAAGCUAAUACCCCAUAUGGCGAGAGCUGAAAGCUUAAUGUGCCUGAGGAUGAGCUCGCGUCUGAUUAGCUAGUUGGUGAGGUAAGGGCUUACCAAGGCGACGAUCAGUAGCUGUUCUGAGAGGAAGAUCAGCCACACUGGGACUGAGACACGGCCCAGACUCCUACGGGAGGCAGCAGUGGGGAAUUUUCCGCAAUGGGCGCAAGCCUGACGGAGCAACGCCGCGUGAGGGAGGAAUGUCUGUGGAUUGUAAACCUCUUUUCUCUGUGAAGAAGCACUGACGGUAGCAGAGGAAUCAGCAUCGGCUAACUCCGUGCCAGCAGCCGCGGUAAG